CACGAUAAAUAAUUAAAUUCUUGAAUAUAAUAUAUCCCGGGUUUGGAUUGACCUGGGCACUGUUACAUUUCUUUGGGGUAAAGCCUCACAAUGGAGAGGGACAAUCAAUAACAGAGUUGGUUUUCAUCAAUUUGGGAGAUCGCUUAUCUUGUUAUGAAGGGGUUAAUGAGAGCCCGACAGGACAGACUAAUAAACCAAACAGUAGAUAUCAAUAAUUGCAAUAAUCACAUUUCCAAAUGGCUUCAUUAUACCUAGUUCGUAUGCGACCCAAAUACUAAAUAGAAAAGCGUUUGUCAAAUUCAGGACUGGCGCUGGAAGCUGUAGGUGGAGGGAAGACCAGGAAUGGUGCAGCUCUGCAGAUGCUGAAGGUGUGCCAAAGGGUCACGUGUGUUCCUGAAGGGACUGAGGCGACGCAGUCGGAGGUCCCUGCGGUGGCGGUCAGCGGGAGGUGUCAAGACCAACCAGCUCCUCGUCCAGGAAAGGGGAAUUCUUCAGACCGUUCUUCAAAGGUUCAAUAAAGUCACGAUGGAAGAGCAGAUGGCUGUGCAGUUGCCAUGGUGGAGAGACCCAGAGUAUGAUGACCGAACAGUUGAUCUACAACGAUGGCCUACUCCCCAUCCACCCUGAGGAUCCCUGGCUACACCUGCAAUCCAAUCUACCCCAGACAUAACCACUCGGAGCUCAACAACUCCUACAACUCCUCCUGCCUCCUACACACCAUACUGUUACCACUUUACCAUUUUACUUUAAAAAAAAGUACUGUAAUUCACACCAUGUUGUAGGAAAAGCAUGUUUAGCUCAAUGAUUUAUACAUUCUAUUUCUGUGACCCCAACUAUUGUAUUUCUAACCCAGUUACCUCGUAACCCUCUUUCUAAGGGAGCGACUAAAGGGACAAAGCUGGAGCAAACCUGAGUUUAACAAUCUUUCUAAUCUUUCUUUCAAAUGUCCUCAAUUGAAACACAUAAAAUGCCUAAAGUAACUUGUCUAACAAAACAAAAAGCCAACCUAAUACCCAAACUUAACCAUCUAACUAAAGAUCUCAAAUGCCUAAACUCUCUUACCUUAACCGAGUACCUAAACCGAACCAUUUAACUAAACAUCUCAAAGGCCUAAACUCGCUUACCUCAACCUAACCUAAUACCCAAACUUAACCAUCUAACUGAAGAGCUCAAACACCUAAACUCUUACCUUAACCUAGUACCUAAACUGAACCAUCUAACUAAACAUCUCAAAGGCCUAAACUCGCUUACCUCAACCUAACCUAAUACCCAAACUUGACCAUCUAACUUAAAAGCCCAAAUGCUUAAACUCUUACCCUAACCUGGUACCUAAACUUGACAAUCUAACUAAGCAUCUCUAAUAACUAAACUCUUUCCUAAUACCUAAACAAUCUUUAAUACAAUCACUAAUGCCUAAACUUAAACAAACGCCAAUAAUAAAAGUUAACCAUCCUUAAUCUUAAACCCAAACCAGACUUGUCCCUGGGUCGCUCCACUUUGUUUCUUUAAAGGCAUCUCUUUUCCCCUGCAUCUGUGUUUUAUUCCUUGAGGACUUCAGGUGGGGUGCCAUACAGUGUUGCAUGGGUUCUUGGGUCAAUUGUGGCACCCAUUGCACUCCUGACCAUCCCUGGAAGAAGGGAUCCCCUCCACUGCGUUUCUUCUCAAAAUUUCUUCCUUGCUGAUUCAAGGGAGUUUUUUCUUGCCCGUGUGGGGGCAUGGGUAAAGGGGGGUGUCACAAAUAUUUGGCCUGUUAAGCCCUUUGAGACUGUAAUGGUGAUUAAGGGCUAUACAAAUAAAAUUGAAUUGAAUAAAGAUACUUCAUCUUUACAGAUUUUGUUUUGGGGAAUUGGGACAGCUGAGCAGCUUAAGCAUCCUUACUGGUGAAUCUGAUCUGACGAUAUCAAUCAUAGGACUAUGAAGCUGCAGAGUUCUUCCAAGAAAGGGUUCCAAUCCAGGAUAGCUUUUAACACACUUUAUUUGUUAAAGUAUUUCGGUAUGGUAACUACGGAGCAAAAGGAGGUGGAAGCGUGUUGAACACGUGCUGAGCGUCGCCCUGCUGAUCAAAAACAUUAACCCUUUGUCUGGUAGCAGCUAGAAGAUUCUGAAGUCCAACUUCUCUGUCGAGAUUGAACUGUAAUGCAAUGCACAACAUGCAAUUUGUCCUUAUCUCAAUUUUUAAAACUUUUUAUAUUUUUUAUUAUUACUAUUUAUUGUGCUGCGCCCUCUCGCUCUCUCGAUCUCUCUCUCUCUCUCUCGAUCUCUCUCUCUGUAUUAAUACUGUACUUGACUUGGGAAGCCCUGCACAAGAAUUCCAAUGUGUUUGAACUGUCUGGUUUAUGCACAAAUGGCGAAUAAAAACCUUUGAACCUU
Molecule: long non-coding RNA, 2370 nt
Organism: Gadus macrocephalus (Pacific cod)
Lineage: Eukaryota; Metazoa; Chordata; Actinopteri; Gadiformes; Gadidae
Exons: 5
Source: RefSeq, a predicted model, not a curated record